This 433-nucleotide ribosomal RNA is filed under the name uncultured bacterium. RNAcentral describes it as "partial 16S ribosomal RNA". It matches the Rfam family "Bacterial small subunit ribosomal RNA", at positions 29 to 507 of the family's 1533-position model. The record is from RNAcentral.
AGCGAACGCUGGCGGCAGGCUUAACACAUGCAAGUCGAGCGGGCCCUUCGGGUUCAGCGGCCGACUGGUGAGUAACGCGUGGGAACGUGCCCUUCGGUUCGGAAUAACUCAGGGAAACUUGAGCUAAUACCGGAUACUCCCUUAUUGGGGAAGGCUUGCUGCCGGAGGAUCGGCCCGCGUCUGAUUAGCUAGUUGGUGAGGUUAUGGCUCACCAAGGCGACGAUCAGUAGCUGGUCUGAGAGGAAGAUCAGACACACCGGGACUGAGAAACGGCCCAGACUCUUACGGGAGGGAGGAGUGGGGAAUAUAGGAAAAUGGGGGCAACGAUGAACGAGCCAGGCCGGGUGAGUGAUGACGGCCUGAGGGAUGUAAAGCUCGUUUCUACGGGACGAUAAUGACGGUACCGGAGGAAUAAGCCCCGGCUAACUUCGUG